RNAcentral lists this transfer RNA (75 nucleotides) under Acetobacterium fimetarium. RNAcentral's name for it is "tRNA-Glu". It matches the Rfam family "tRNA". From Rfam's summary of the family: Transfer RNA (tRNA) molecules are approximately 80 nucleotides in length. Their secondary structure includes four short double-helical elements and three loops (D, anti-codon, and T loops). Lineage: Bacteria; Bacillati; Bacillota; Clostridia; Eubacteriales; Eubacteriaceae. The record is from RNAcentral.
GGCCCCUUGGUCAAGCGGUUAAGACACCGCCCUUUCACGGCGGUAACAGGGGUCCGAAUCCCCUAGGGGUCACCA